GUGCCCACUUUGGCAGCACAUAAACUAAAAUUGGAAUGAUACGGAGAUUAGCAUGGACCCUGCACAAGAAUGACACGCAAAUUCAUGAAGCAUUCCAUAUUUUU
This 104-nucleotide small nuclear RNA is filed under the name Spermophilus dauricus (Daurian ground squirrel). The record is from RNAcentral. Lineage: Eukaryota; Metazoa; Chordata; Mammalia; Rodentia; Sciuridae.